Pogona vitticeps (central bearded dragon) is the source of this 1032-nucleotide long non-coding RNA. The record is from Ensembl. Lineage: Eukaryota; Metazoa; Chordata; Lepidosauria; Squamata; Agamidae.
GUUGCAUGUACAGAAGUGAGAAAAGUGUUUUUGUGGAGUUUGACCUAUUUGAUACCCUAACAAUAUAUGAGAUGGAAGGAAAUGUAGCUGAGCAACCACAGCAGUUCCAGUCUCCAGACAGUGAUAUGCCAAGACAACCUAUGACAUCAGAGACCAUGGUCACAAUUAUGUCACUGAGAGCAUGCCUAAUCCUUUUACAUUAUCUGGCCCAUGCAUUGUCAGAAGGAUGACAAAAUGGUCUGCAUCCCAAAUGACUUUCCAAUCAAUGUAAUUAUUAUGUUUUCAGACUUCCAGCUUGACGCUGUAACAAGACAGCAGCAGGAGGACAGAGCUCCAUCCCCUGGGCUGAAUUCUGACCUGUUUGUGGCUCCCCAGGGGGUUAAAACCACCCCGAAAAGGUAGUGAAAUGGGGGAGAAGCCUGUUGAUCACAGGGGGAUGGUGGUUACCUCUGUUGAUCCAGGAAACUCCCUAAAUAACCAGUGGGCGGAAACAAGCAGCUGAAUAGUUGUCGGUAGCUGGCAAUAGAGAAGCGAUAAAUUAGUUAAUUAACAUAGUUACCAUUGGGUGAGAAAUAUUUUACUAUACUGCUUUAUGACUAUCCUUGGAUGAGACAAUCCCUGGAAUAGAAAUAGCAUUGGGAAGAGACACAAAGUAAACAAAAUUGGACACUAAUUAGACAUUUAAUUAUACUUCAAGGAAGGAAGAUUGGUAUUCGUUUGGCAUUAGAAACUUAAGAAAUCCUUCUCUUAAAAUCAUUAUUAGCUAAACAACUCUAGGAGAUAAACUUGUUAUGUUAUGGCUAUCCAAGCAUUGGUGAAAAGCCCAGAACACAUGACCUUGAAUACUCUAUGGUGGCCCUAGGCUGUGAAUCUGUUUAAACUCUCCUUUUUUUCUUCUCAGAACUGACUGAAACAUUGACAAAUUAAUCCUGGAAUGUCUAACAACGAAAAUUCAACUUGAAAUAUAUAUCUGGCUAAUGUGGACCUAUCUGGACCAAUAAAAACAUUUGAAUGUAUCCUGGACUGCUUCUG